GCUAAAGUAGCAAAGUGGGAAUGCGAGAAAUCUAAGGUUUCUUUAUCGGGGGUUCGAGUCCCCUCUUUGGUU
RNAcentral lists this transfer RNA (72 nucleotides) under Protoreaster nodosus. RNAcentral's name for it is "tRNA-Leu". It matches the Rfam family "tRNA". Rfam says of the family: Transfer RNA (tRNA) molecules are approximately 80 nucleotides in length. The record is from RNAcentral. Lineage: Eukaryota; Metazoa; Echinodermata; Asteroidea; Valvatida; Oreasteridae.